RNAcentral lists this ribosomal RNA (696 nucleotides) under uncultured Planctomycetota bacterium. RNAcentral describes it as "bacterial SSU rRNA". It matches the Rfam family "Bacterial small subunit ribosomal RNA", at positions 53 to 751 of the family's 1533-position model. The record is from RNAcentral. Lineage: Bacteria; Pseudomonadati; Planctomycetota.
GCAUGCAGUCGAGCGAGAACCCGCAAGGGGGACAGCGGCAACGGGGUAGUAACGGGUAGGCGACGUACCCUUCGGUCGGGGAUAGCCACGGGAAACUGUGGGUAAUACCCGAUAAUCUCUUCAGGCGUGAUAGCUUGGAGAGCAAAGGUGUGAUUCCACCGGAGGAGCGGCCUGCUUCGUAUUAGCUGGUUGGUGAGGUAACGGCUCACCAAGGCGACGGUGCGUAGGGGGUGUGAGAGCAUGACCCCCACCACUGGGACUGAGAUACUGCCCAGACACCUACGGGUGGCUGCAGUCGAGAAUCUUCGGCAAUGGGCGCAAGCCUGACCGAGCGACGCCGCGUGUGGGAUGAAGGCCCUUGGGUUGUAAACCACUGUCAGAGGGGAUGAAGUGCAGGAGGGCAAUCUCUCCUGUUUGACAUAGCCUCAGAGGAAGCACGGGCUAAGUUCGUGCCAGCAGCCGCGGUAAUACGAACUGUGCAAACGUUAUUCGGAAUCACUGGGCUUACAGGGUGCGUAGGCGGCUUGCUAAGUAGGGUGUGAAAGCCCCCGGCUCAACCGGGGAAUUGCGCCCUAAACUGGCGAGCUGGAGUGAGAUAGGGGUGUGUGGAACUUCCGGUGGAGCGGUGAAAUGUGUUGAUAUCGGAAGGAACGCCGGUGGCGAAAGCGACACACUGGAUCUUGUCUGACGCUGAGG